UUUUAUUUUUUCUCUCUUGCUUCAUUAAAACGCAUAAUCAAUCAUUUUGUCCAUUUUUUGUUCGGAUUAAACAAUUUCUAUUCUGGUAGAGGCGAUGAUCUAAAGAUUUAAUUUUUGUUUCUCUUGCUUUUUUCCAACGUUACGCAUACGGUAAUCAUAUAAAAUAACCAGAACGAGACACAAUGGUAUCGUUUUUUUUUUUUUUUUGCUUAUUCAUUCGAAAAAUUCCAAAGUCACAUAUGAUGAUUAUAUAUAAAUAUUAUAAAUUCUCAAAUCAUCAAUUUUUAUCCCCUUUAUAUAAUUGCGCUACUUGUCUUUUCUGUUUGAAUUCAUAGUUUUUUUUGUAUUCGACAUUUGUUGAAUGAAUGAAAUUUCAUUUACCCCAAUCGUUUAUCUUAUGGAAUCUUUACCAUUGAUGAUGAGGAUGAUGAUUAUGUUGGACAAGGACAAAGAUGGAAGACUGUUUUUGUUAUCCAAUGCAGCGAUGGCGGCGUUAACCAGAUUAAACUGGAAAAUCUUUCUAUCUUAUGAAUGAUAGAUUUCUGUUUUCAAUUUUAAUUUAAUAUUUGCUCGAUUUAUUUUUCAUGCUCGCGUCUAUGUCUGUGACUUGGGCCAAUAUUUUCUAGAUUAUAAUCAUAUAAUCAACAAACAUAUCUUGUGUCAUAGUCAGUUUUAUAUAUAGACAGAUAGAUAUACAGACAAAGAGACUGACAGAUACUGAUAAUUGAUUUUUUCUUCCUGGUUUUUUCAUUUUGCAUUCAUUAUCCACAAUAUUUUUAUUUGCAUUUUUUCAUUUGAUUGAUUUGUUUUUUUUCACUGUGGCUGUUGUUGUUGUUUUUGAUAUAUAAUAUACGUUUUUCACUGUAAUCAAAUCAAAAGGAACAUUCUUAAUAAUUUUUUUGAAAAACAUUUAAUUAAUCUUAGGUCUAAACAUUUGAUGGCGGAUGGAUUGAUAAAUGGUGAUAACACAAAUGGCUAAAAAUAGCAUUCAACAAAUGUGGUCAAUAGCAGAUAUUAGAUGUGUGUGUUGCUUGAGGGAUGAUUCUUGAAAUUGAAGCGUGUUGUUUGAAAAAAGUUUGGAUUUCAUUUUUUUUCUGUCAUUUUUUCCGUCGAAUGUAUUUAUUUUAUAGCUGGUUUGGCGAACCAAAAAAAAUUUUCCAUCCAAUUUUUAAUUGAAUCGAAUGUGUUCAAUUCAAGGACCAUCUCUUGUCAUUUUGGUUGUAAUUGAGUAACACUUGACAAAAAAACCCGAUAGUGAUCGAAUCAUUCCUAAGAAGAAGAAGGAUAAAAAAUUUGAUCCGAAUGUUGUUAUCAGUGGAAAUAUGAGAUAUUACCAGUUCCUGAACUUGAUCAAUCAAUCAAUCAUUCAUUCAUUGGCGUUUAUCAUGAUGAAAAGAAAAUUUUUCUCGUUUGAUUCCGUAAUCUGUAUAAUCAAUGUAUUUAUAUCUGUCGUUUGGUUUAUGUCAUUACAUGAUUGUGAUUAUGAUGAUGAUGAUAACUCAUUUCUCUUUCACUAUUGACGUAUUUCACAUGUAUUCGUGUUUCGAAAUGAAAAUAAAUGAUUCGAUUUUUUUCAAUCA
Molecule: non-coding RNA, 1580 nt
Organism: Dermatophagoides farinae (American house dust mite)
Lineage: Eukaryota; Metazoa; Arthropoda; Arachnida; Sarcoptiformes; Pyroglyphidae
Source: RefSeq, a predicted model, not a curated record